Molecule: long non-coding RNA, 257 nt
Organism: Perca flavescens (yellow perch)
Lineage: Eukaryota; Metazoa; Chordata; Actinopteri; Perciformes; Percidae
Exons: 2
Source: RefSeq, a predicted model, not a curated record
ACGAACUGAAGAAGAUCCAGAAGCUUCUGAGUCCAGAUUACCCAGAAUGCUCAGAGAGUCAGAGGGAGGAUGAGGAUGAAGAGCAGAGGAGGAGCAGAGAGGCAUUUCUGAAGAUCACACUGCACUUCCUGAGGAGAAUGAAGCAGGACGAGCUGGCUGACUGUCUGCAGCGCAGAAGUCAAGCUGGAGUUUGUAAGCGUAAACUCAAAUCUAAACUAAACAAGAAGUUCCAGUGUGUGUUUGAGGGGAUUGCUAAA